GCAGUCGAGCGGUAAGGCCUUUCGGGGUACACGAGCGGCGAACGGGUGAGUAACACGUGGGUGAUCUGCCCUGCACUUCGGGAUAAGCCUGGGAAACUGGGUCUAAUACCGGAUAUGACCUCAGGUUGCAUGACUUGGGGUGGAAAGAUUUAUCGGUGCAGGAUGGGCCCGCGGCCUAUCAGCUUGUUGGUGGGGUAAUGGCCUACCAAGGCGACGACGGGUAGCCGACCUGAGAGGGUGACCGGCCACACUGGGACUGAGACACGGCCCAGACUCCUACGGGAGGCAGCAGUGGGGAAUAUUGCACAAUGGGCGAAAGCCUGAUGCAGCGACGCCGCGUGAGGGAUGACGGCCUUCGGGUUGUAAACCUCUUUCAGCAGGGACGAAGCGCAAGUGACGGUACCUGCAGAAGAAGCACCGGCUAACUACGUGCCAGCAGCCGCGGUAAUACGUAGGGUGCAAGCGUUGUCCGGAAUUACUGGGCGUAAAGAGUUCGUAGGCGGUUUGUCGCGUCGUUUGUGAAAACCAGCAGCUCAACUGCUGGCUUGCAGGCGAUACGGGCAGACUUGAGUACUGCAGGGGAGACUGGAAUUCCUGGUGUAGCGGUGAAAUGCGCAGAUAUCAGGAGGAACACCGGUGGCGAAGGCGGGUCUCUGGGCAGUAACUGACGCUGAGGAACGAAAGCGUGGGUAGCGAACAGGAUUAGAUACCCUGGUAGUCCACGCCGUAAACGGUGGGCGCUAGGUGUGGGUUCCUUCCACGGAAUCCGUGCCGUAGCUAACGCAUUAAGCGCCCCGCCUGGGGAGUACGGCCGCAAGGCUAAAACUCAAAGGAAUUGACGGGGGCC
This 847-nucleotide ribosomal RNA is filed under the name Rhodococcus sp. (in: high G+C Gram-positive bacteria). RNAcentral describes it as "bacterial SSU rRNA". It matches the Rfam family "Bacterial small subunit ribosomal RNA", at positions 57 to 921 of the family's 1533-position model. The record is from RNAcentral. Lineage: Bacteria; Bacillati; Actinomycetota; Actinomycetes; Mycobacteriales; Nocardiaceae.